GUACACAGACAUUUCACCCUGCAGCCCAAGACCGGUUACUGACUGAAGGUAAACAGGGCUGAGCCUGGCCAGUAACUGGAUGAAAGACCACAUGGGAAAACUAGGUUGCUGUUAGAA
Ribosomal RNA from Danio rerio (zebrafish), 117 nucleotides. The record is from Ensembl. Lineage: Eukaryota; Metazoa; Chordata; Actinopteri; Cypriniformes; Danionidae.